ACAACGGCUCAGCGGUUGAACACUCGCUUCACAAGCGAUAGGUCCGUGGUUCAAACCCACUCUCGUUCCA
This is a non-coding RNA of Phytophthora infestans T30-4, 70 nucleotides long. The record is from the annotation of a RefSeq genome assembly. Lineage: Eukaryota; Oomycota; Peronosporomycetes; Peronosporales; Peronosporaceae.